This 253-nucleotide ribosomal RNA is filed under the name uncultured bacterium. RNAcentral's name for it is "partial 16S ribosomal RNA". It matches the Rfam family "Bacterial small subunit ribosomal RNA", at positions 524 to 776 of the family's 1533-position model. The record is from RNAcentral.
GACAGAGGGGGCAAGCGUUGCUCGGAAUUACUGGGCGUAAAGCGCGCGUAGGCGGCUUUGCAAGUCGGGUGUGAAAUCCCCAGGCUUAACCUGGGAACUGCAUUCGAGACUGCAUUGCUAGAGUAUGGGAGAGGGAAGUGGAAUUUCCGGUGUAGCGGUGAAAUGCGUAGAUAUCGGAAGGAACAUCAGUGGCGAAAGCGACUUCCUGGACCAAUACUGACGCUCAUGUGCGAAAGCGUGGGGAGCAAACAGG